Molecule: non-coding RNA, 618 nt
Organism: Lonchura striata (white-rumped munia)
Lineage: Eukaryota; Metazoa; Chordata; Aves; Passeriformes; Estrildidae
Source: RefSeq, a predicted model, not a curated record
GCGCUGCUGCGUACACGCGGUUAUGUAUAUAUAAUAGAUAGUCGUCUAUGUAUGUAUAUGCAUGGAGCUUUAUGGAUAUCUGGCAUCUCCUCUCCUCUGUGAAAGGUAAUGAAUGCAUCUCAGCACUGCAGGAGCUCUGCUCUGCUGGGCCCAGCACUGGGAUCCUGCUUGGAGGCAAACCAACAACUCAUCCAAACCCCGAGGAAAAGUGAUCCCAGUGGGAGGAUGAUCCUACACCCAGCCACAGUGGGAUCACCCCAAAAAUGGGAUUACAGCCCAAAUACCACUCUGAAGGAGAAGCAACUGCAGGUCAUGGACAAGGCCUGGAAAAGAACCUCCUGUGACAAGAGAGGGAAUUGCUGAAGGACUGAGGAAAACCAGAGGCACAGCACCCAGAGGCUCCUGUUUCUUCCCCGGGGCAGGGAUGUGACCCUGUGGACAUCAGAGUCCCAACUAACAUUUGGCCAAAUUCUGGGGAGAGCUGCAAGUAUUCCUCAAAUCCCAGGAAAUCCCGAGUUUUCCUGCUGUGUUUGUCAAGUCUCAUGUCCAGAGCAGCAACGGCAGUUCUGAACAGUUUAAAUAAAGCAAAACUUUAAAUAAAGCAAAAUUGUGAACGUC